CAGUCGCCACGGUAAUACGUAGGGGGCAAGCGUUAUCCGGAAUUACUGGGUGUAAAGGGAGCGUAGACGGUUAAACAAGUCUGAAGUGAAAUGCCGGGGCUCAACCCCGGAGCUGCUUUGGGAACUGUAGAACUGGAGUGUCGGAGGGGUAAGCGGAAUUCCCAGUGUAGCGGUGAAAUGCGUAGAUAUUGGGAGGAACACCGGCGGCGAAGGCGGCUUACUGGACGACAACUGACGUUGAGGCUCGAAGGCGUGGGUAGCAAACAGGAUUAGAUACCCCGGUAGUCCCUGUCUCUUAUAC
This 301-nucleotide ribosomal RNA is filed under the name uncultured bacterium. RNAcentral describes it as "partial 16S ribosomal RNA". It matches the Rfam family "Bacterial small subunit ribosomal RNA", at positions 509 to 807 of the family's 1533-position model. The record is from RNAcentral.